GUACUUCUGGUUCAGGAGGACAACAUCAACUGAGGACAUGAUUACACUGAAGAUCACAUCCGUCAAUGUCGGAGUAAUCAUGACGCUGGUCACUUUUUGGUUACAGGAGAUGAAAUGAGACAGAGAGAGAAGAAAAGGAGGGAGACGGUGCUGGUGGAGGACAGUGUUGUGGAAGGAUGACGACGCCAACAGGACAUCUCCUAAACCACGUCAUACUUGUCCCAGGUUAAUCACUGGAGUAGGAUUACAUUCCAUUUGGCAUAUGGGUUCUUACUGCACAUCAAGACAUAUCUCAAACACAUAGGAAGAUAAUACACAAGCUGGGCCCAAGCAGUCCUCUCUGAGAUGUAUAAAAGGGAACAGUAUGCGUAUGAGCCUACCGAUGGCUGUUCAAAAUGGGUAGGGUUCGGUUGCGAUGUGUUUCUUGUUGUCAUUAUGAUUUUUUUUGUUGUAUUUAUUGAUGAGAAACCAAUGGGAUGUAGGGCAACAGGGAAACUAAUAAAACAAGAGAAGAAUAAAGGUGGACCCAACCACAAGUUCCUUGUUUUCUCAAACGCUACAGUUAAAGCCCAUACCCCAUCCUAAGUGAAAAUAAAACAUGCUAUUCUAAAACCAGACGCAGGGUUUGGGAUUGUAUAACUGAAUGAUAAAACAUGCUACUCUAAAACCAGACGUAGGGUUUGGGAUUGUAUAACUGAAUGAUAAAACAUGCUAUUCUAAUACCAGACACAGGGUUUGGGAUUGUAUAACUGAAUGAUAAAACAUGCUAUUCUAAUACCAGACGCAGGGUUUGGGAUUGUAUAACUGAAUGAUAAAACAUGCUAUUCUAAAACCAGACGCAGGGUUUGGGAUUGUAUAACUGAAUGAUAAAACAUGCUAUUCUAAUACCAGACACAGGGUUUGGGAUUGUAUAACUGAAUGAUAAAACAUGCUAUUCUAAUACCAGACGCAGGGUUUGGGAUUGUAUAACUGAAUGAUAAAACAUGCUAUUCUAAUACCAGACGCAGGGUUUGGGAUAGUAUAACUGAAUGAUAAAACAUGCUAUUCUAAUACCAGACGCAGGGUUUGGGAUUGUAUAACUGAAUGAUAAAACAUGCUAUUCUAAAACCAGACGCAGGGUUUGGGAUUGUAUAACUGAAUGAUAAAACAUGCUAUUCUAAUACCAGAUGCAGGGUUUGGGAUUGUAUAACUGAAUGAUAAAACAUGCUAUUCUAAUACCAGACGCAGGGUUUGGGAUUGUAUAACUGAAUGAUAAAACCUGCUAUUCUAAUACCAGACGCAGGGUUUGGGAUUGUAUAACUGAAUGAUAAAACAUGCUAUUCUAAUACCAGACGCAGGGUUUGGGAUUGUAUAACUGAAUGAUAAAACAUGCUAUUCUAAAACCAGACGCAGGGUUUGGGAUUGUAUAACUGAAUGAUAAAACAUGCUAUUCUAAUACCAGACGCAGGGUUUGGGAUUGUAUAACUGAAUGUUAAAACAUGCUAUUCUAAUACCAGACGCAGGGUUUGGGAUUGUAUAACUGAAUGAUAAAACAUGCUAUUCUAAUACCAGACGCAGGGUUUGGGAUUGUAUAACUGAAUUAUAAAACAUGAAGUGGCUAAUAAGAGUCUGUUACAGCAGUACUUAAUGUUGGCAGGUACAGAGGGAAUGAGUUUGUCUAUGUUGACCUUUAUUUUCUCUGGCUUUGGUACAUUUCCUGAAUCCAUUCAGAUGCAAAACCUUGUCUGGUCAAAUUAGAUUAUGAUCAUAAUAAACUAUUUUAAUCUUGUCAGUUCCCCGAACAAGCCAGAAAUUCAGUUGAUCAAUCCAGUCUGGGCUCUCAGAGAUUUCACUAAGAAGGUCUACUGAUAUCAUUUUUACAAUGCAACAAGUGGAACAUUUAAAAAAAAAAAUUCUUCCAUGAGCCACUGUGUCAAAAAAAACAUGACCAAAUGACAUCUGACAGUCUAGGAAUUCCCAUCACCCUUCAUUUGUAACAGAUCAAUCCCUGUCUCCCUGCGUGUCAAUCAUGUUGAACGAUCUGGAACCUUAGAGUACCCUAAUUAGGGUCAGUCAACAACAGCCCCCUACUAGGUAGUGAUUGAUCAACCCCAGGCAGCUCAACCAUUGCAUGCAUGGCUUCAAAUGAGGGCUGUGUGUUUAAACAAGGAAAUUGUUACAUAAUGAAGGGCCAAGUAGAUCAAAGUCAUUAUUUUUGCAGGUAAAUGGGAUGAAUUCUCUGCUUGGUUCAUUUUAUUACUUCUAUUGUACUAUUACUUUAACCUGUAUAAAUCUUGUUUUAGAAACGUGCUGAAAAUUCUAAUGAUAUGUGAAACGUAAGGUGGUGUUUGUUGGCUUUGUGUUUGGAAAAAUAUAAUAACUUGUUUCAUCGUUGCUGUCACGUAGAGUAGGCCAGAAGGCUAAACUGGAUAACCUAACCUCUAUCAAAAUAAAAAGAUGGCGGAACCGCAAAAGUU
Molecule: long non-coding RNA, 2456 nt
Organism: Oncorhynchus keta (chum salmon)
Lineage: Eukaryota; Metazoa; Chordata; Actinopteri; Salmoniformes; Salmonidae
Exons: 2
Source: RefSeq, a predicted model, not a curated record